UAAGGACGUGCCUGAAACCGAUCCUGAGAGACUUGUGUUUUUCCUGGAUUUGUUUUUUCUCUUCGUGGAAAAAGUAAAGUGGUGGGUCAGUUUACCGGGGUUUUGGCAAAGAAUGGAAGGAAGGGAUCCACCUCCACCUGACGGGCCUUCGUCGCUUGGAAGCGGGGUUUCCCACACUAGCCCGGAAAGGGCUACUUACGCACUUAUACUACGGUUACAAAGAACGAAUUUCCAUCGCUGGUGAUGGAUUUCUUUUGUAACAUCGAAGCACGAGGCUAACCUCCCAGGAGGUGUCUGAUUUCGGUUUUGACGACAUGAAGUUACAUCCUCGAGAUAUAUCUCGUAUCAUCGGAAUUGGAAGGCCGUCAAAUGUCAUUAAUACCGUCACCAAAGCAGAGGUUAUCGUUCGGGAGAGAUUUGGCGACAAGGUGGAGUUCACCAUAUCUUACGGAGAUCAAGUUUGGAAGUGUUGUACCAGGGGGGUGGGGUGAGGUGGAAUACGAAAGUCAAUCUUCGGUUCUUCCAUGUGCCCGUUGAAGUGGAGGAAUCUAACUUACUGGGAGCGAUAGGGCCUUUUGCUUCGCCAAUGUCUGACGUUGUGGAAGAUAAAUUCGGAAAAGAUAGCAAUUCCAGAUUAUUGGGCAUUGGGAACGGUAGCAUUACAGUUCAGGUCAAGAUUAUUGAUUUUGUACAAGUAGAUAAGUGGAAGAUCCGUGUGUAGCAUAAGGAUCAGACAAGAAUAUGUUAAGGCUGCGGUGAAGGCCCAUUGGUGACUUCUGCGGGUUGGAUAACAAACCAGACAAGUGAUCCCCCGUCUGUUAAAUCCCCUAUCUCUGUGCAAGAAAGCUUGAAUCAUUGGGCAUUUUCGUCGAGGAAGGAGAUCUUUGAAAAUGGCAUCAAAGACUAGGAGAGGAGCGACGAAGAGAACGAGAAACUUACAGAAGAACCUCGUGGUGCUUAAUCAUCUGAUUUAUGGCCAACCGACGAUACUCAAGAUACAAUGACCCCGGAAACUGAAAUGAUAUACAUGAGAGGAGCUACAAAUCCGAAUAAGUUGAAGCGGAAAAAUCCAGCAACAUCUAUAUCUCAAAUUCUGAAUAAUGCUACUCUCUCGCCUAAGAAAACGGGGUUUGAAAUUGAGAGGAGUCGUCAAGAUUUGAGUUUGGCAUUACCACCACUUACACGAGGCCGAGAAGUGUUCCUCAUCUUGUUUUUUGAGAAAUAUUGGCGUUGGAGGUCAUCUUCCGCAAUGGACAACGGUCUGGUUGGCGGAACGGUAUCCGAGGGUGCUAAUUGAAGAAUGUACUUCAUCAUGGAAAGCAGUUUGGACGGGGGUGACUCAAGGACGAGCCUCAGUUUAUUAGCCGAUGAUGCUAGAGUUUCACGACGUAUAUACUCUAAUCAGGACGUCUUUCAGCAACAAGAAAAUCUCAAUCUCAUACAAGGAUGGGCCGUGACUCACAGCAUGUCUUUCAACAAAGGGAAGUGUGUGGUCCAACGAUUAGGUUCGGUAAAUGCUACUGUAAAUUACGAACUGGGUGGUACAAGGCUGGUCCUGGUUGAAGUUCACAAAGAUCUUGGCACACAUAUUGACAGCAAGCUGAACUUCUUGAGGCACGUAUCUUACCUGUCUUCAAAAGCCAACAAGUUAGUCGGUAUGAUUAAGAGGCAUUUUACAAUCCGGUGCCCGAAGGUUCUAAUCAAGCUCUUUAACACCUGCAUACGCUCAUCCCUGGAAUUUGGUUAUCUUGCCUGGACCCCGACGUUCAAAAAAGAUUUCGUUCGGCUCGAAUCGGUUCUGCGCCGUUUUACUAAGGGAAAUCCUGGAACAGGUGGGUUUGGUUACGACGAGCGUCUGGUGAAAGUUCGAUGUGAGUCUUUACUACAAAAGCCAUCGCGAAACAAGAUCGUCGUUGGCCGAGCAACUUCGGACCCCGGUUGCUCGUUGUGCUGCUAGAUUAAAUUCUUUCAUGAUUUGAGCCAUUCCAAGGUGGAAUGCAGUUCCACAAAGUGUUCGAUCAGUGACCUCUUUGAAAUUAUCUCGCUCUCAGUUGAACUCAUGGUACUGAUCAAAAAGCUAACUCUUCUCAGGAGUUGAAGACAUCGACCACUAUCUUUAUUUUUCUCUUCUUCACGCCCAUCUUCUCAUUGUACCAAAACUCUUUAUCUACAGCUACGUGAUUGUAGUGGUUGUCACAAUAAACAAUAAAUCCAUAUC
Molecule: long non-coding RNA, 2218 nt
Organism: Tigriopus californicus
Lineage: Eukaryota; Metazoa; Arthropoda; Copepoda; Harpacticoida; Harpacticidae
Exons: 2
Source: RefSeq, a predicted model, not a curated record